Molecule: ribosomal RNA, 1575 nt
Filed under: Serratia marcescens
Lineage: Bacteria; Pseudomonadati; Pseudomonadota; Gammaproteobacteria; Enterobacterales; Yersiniaceae
Description: bacterial LSU rRNA
Rfam family: Bacterial large subunit ribosomal RNA
Source: RNAcentral
UCGACCCCAAGGCGAGGCUGAAAGCGUAGUCGAUGGGAAACAGGUUAAUAUUCCUGUACUUGGUGUUACUGCGAAGGGGACGGAGAAGGCUAGGCUGGCCGGGCGACGGUUGUCCCGGUUUAAGCGUGUAGGGGUGUGACUGGUAAAUCCGGUUGCAUAUCAACCCUGAGGCGUGAUGACGAUGCACUACGGUGCAGAAGUAGUUGAUGCCCUGCUUCCAGGAAAAUCCUCUAAGCUCCAGGUAACAUUAAAUCGUACCCCAAACCGACACAGGUGGUCAGGUAGAGAAUACCAAGGCGCUUGAGAGAACUCGGGUGAAGGAACUAGGCAAAAUGGUGCCGUAACUUCGGGAGAAGGCACGCUGGCAUGUAGGUGAAGUCCUCGCGGAUGGAGCUGAAGCCAGUCGAAGAUACCAGCUGGCUGCAACUGUUUAAUAAAAACACAGCACUGUGCAAACACGAAAGUGGACGUAUACGGUGUGACGCCUGCCCGGUGCUGGAAGGUUAAUUGAUGGGGUCAGCCGCAAGGCGAAGCUUGAUCGAAGCCCCAGUAAACGGCGGCCGUAACUAUAACGGUCCUAAGGUAGCGAAAUUCCUUGUCGGGUAAGUUCCGACCUGCACGAAUGGCGUAAUGAUGGCCAGGCUGUCUCCACCCGAGACUCAGUGAAAUUGAACUCGCUGUGAAGAUGCAGUGUACCCGCGGCAAGACGGAAAGACCCCGUGAACCUUUACUAUAGCUUGACACUGAACAUUGAGCCUUGAUGUGUAGGAUAGGUGGGAGGCUUUGAAGCGUGGACGCCAGUCUGCGUGGAGCCAUCCUUGAAAUACCACCCUUUAAUGUUUGAUGUUCUAACUCGGCCCCAUAAUCUGGGGUGAGGACAGUGUCUGGUGGGUAGUUUGACUGGGGCGGUCUCCUCCCAAAGAGUAACGGAGGAGCACGAAGGUUAGCUAAUCACGGUCGGACAUCGUGAGGUUAGUGCAAAGGCAUAAGCUAGCUUGACUGCGAGAGUGACGGCUCGAGCAGGUACGAAAGUAGGUCUUAGUGAUCCGGUGGUUCUGAAUGGAAGGGCCAUCGCUCAACGGAUAAAAGGUACUCCGGGGAUAACAGGCUGAUACCGCCCAAGAGUUCAUAUCGACGGCGGUGUUUGGCACCUCGAUGUCGGCUCAUCACAUCCUGGGGCUGAAGUAGGUCCCAAGGGUAUGGCUGUUCGCCAUUUAAAGUGGUACGCGAGCUGGGUUUAGAACGUCGUGAGACAGUUCGGUCCCUAUCUGCCGUGGGCGUUGGAAGAUUGAGAGGGGUUGCUCCUAGUACGAGAGGACCGGAGUGAACGCACCACUGGUGUUCGGGUUGUCAUGCCAAUGGCAUUGCCCGGUAGCUAAGUGCGGAAAAGAUAAGCGCUGAAAGCAUCUAAGCGCGAAACUUGCCUCAAGAUGAGUCUUCCCUGGGCCUUCAAGGCCCCUGAAGGAACGUUUAAGACUAAGACGUUGAUAGGCUGGGUGUGUAAGUGCAGCGAUGCAUUGAGCUAACCAGUACUAAUGAUCCGUGAGGCUUAACCUUACAACACCGAAGGUGUUU